This 328-nucleotide ribosomal RNA is filed under the name uncultured eukaryote. RNAcentral describes it as "partial 18S ribosomal RNA". It matches the Rfam family "Eukaryotic small subunit ribosomal RNA", at positions 1470 to 1796 of the family's 1831-position model. The record is from RNAcentral.
CCCUUAGAUGUUCUGGGCCGCACGCGCGCUACACUGACUACUUCAACGAGUUGUUUCCUUGAUCGAAAGGUCUGGGUAAUCUUUGAAAGGUAGUCGUGAUGGGGGUAGAUCCUUGCAAUUUUUGAUCUUCAACGAGGAAUUCCUAGUAAACGCAAGUCAUCAGCUUGCAUUGAUUACGUCCCUGCCCUUUGUACACACCGCCCGUCGCACCUACCGAUUGAAUGGUCCGGUGAAUCUUUAGGACUGUGGCUGAGGCCUUGCCUUGUGCGGGUCUGGCCGUGGGAAUUUAGUUAAACCUUACCAUUUAGAGGAAGGUGAAGUCGUAACA